Molecule: ribosomal RNA, 497 nt
Filed under: uncultured bacterium
Lineage: Bacteria
Description: partial 16S ribosomal RNA
Rfam family: Bacterial small subunit ribosomal RNA
Source: RNAcentral
GAUGAACGCUGGCGGUGUGCCUAAUACAUGCAAGUCGAGCGAACAGACGAGGAGCUUACUCCUCUGACGUUAGCGGCGGAUGGGUGAGUAACACGUGGAUAACCUACCUAUAAGACUGGGAUAACUUCGGGAAACCGGAGCUAAUACCGGAUAACAUGUUGAACCGCAUGGUUCAACAGUGAAAGACGGUCUUGCUGUCACUUAUAGAUGGAUCCGCGUCGCAUUAGCUAGUUGGUAAGGUAACGGCUUACCAAGGCAACGAUGCGUAGCCGACCUGAGAGGGUGAUCGGCCACACUGGAACUGAGACACGGUCCAGACUCCUACGGGAGGCAGCAGUAGGGAAUCUUCCGCAAAGGGCGAAAGCCUGACGGAGCAACGCCGCGUGAGUGAAGAAGGUCUUCGGAUCGUAAAACUCUGUUAUUAGGGAAGAACAAAUGUGUAAGUAACUAUGCACGUCUUGACGGUACCUAAUCAGAAAGCCACGGCUAACUACGUG